GUAAUUGGAAUGAUGGGAAUUUAAACCUCUUCCAGAGUAUCAAUUGGAGGGCAAGUCUGGUGCCAGCAGCCGCGGUAAUUCCAGCUCCAAUAGCGUAUAUUAAAAUUGUUGCAGUUAAAAAGCUCGUAGUUGAAUUUCUGCUGCAUUGUUUCUUCUCAUGUCGAGUGAUUCAUUGUGGCUUAUUUCGGAUUGUUUUUUACUUUCCGGAUGAUUACUUUGAGAAAAUUAGAGUGCUCAAAGCAGGCUUUUGCCUUGAAUAGUUUAGCAUGGAAUAAUAAAGUAGGACUUUGGUUCUAUUUUGUUGGUUUUAGGUACCAAAGUAAUGGUUAAUAGGAACAGUUGGGGGCAUUCGUAUUUAACUGUCAGAGGUGAAAUUCUUAGAUUUGUUAAAGACGAACUACUGCGAAAGCAUUUGCCAAGGAUGUUUUCAUUAAUCAAGAACGAAAGUUAGGGGAUCGAAGACGAUCAGAUACCGUCGUAGUCCUAACCAUAAACUA
RNAcentral lists this ribosomal RNA (497 nucleotides) under Theileria sp. Its description in RNAcentral is "SSU rRNA". It matches the Rfam family "Eukaryotic small subunit ribosomal RNA", at positions 505 to 1039 of the family's 1831-position model. The record is from RNAcentral. Lineage: Eukaryota; Apicomplexa; Aconoidasida; Piroplasmida; Theileriidae.